Molecule: long non-coding RNA, 3961 nt
Filed under: Triticum aestivum (bread wheat)
Lineage: Eukaryota; Viridiplantae; Streptophyta; Magnoliopsida; Poales; Poaceae
Source: RNAcentral
AGAUCACGGCCAUAUUAUUAAAAGCUUGCGGUAAGAAGGGGUUUCGUUCUAGUGCCCGGAAAUAAUAUUCCAAAGCCUUUGUAUGCUCUCCAUUGCUUGUGUGUAUAAGGCCUAUGUUAUAGAGUAUAUAACUUCGAUCAUAGGGAUCGAUUUCUAGUCGCGUAGCUUCAUAAUAAUUUUGCAAAGCUUCCGCAUAAUUUCCUUCGGAUUGAGCCAACAUCCGUUACGGUCGUUCAUUCUAUUCAAAAAAUCUCCGUUCCAAAACCGUACAUGAGGUUUUCAUCUCAUACGGCUCCUCCCUUCUGUACAUAAUAGUACUAAGCGAAAUAAUCUAUAGACUCAAAAUAGAAUUAGUCCCGUCUCAUUAUGAACCGAAAGGGGCUGGUAUUUUUCCAAGAAAUCUCUAGCCAACCUUCCCACAAGAGGUUUUUCUUAACACCAAUGAAUUCUAUUAAUGCUAGAGGAAAACGAUAGCUCCAAUAAUUUCUUUGUUCUCAACGCCUCCUAUUUAGAGGAAUUAGCUACUUCAACGAUCUUUGAUGGUUAUAGGGGUAUCCAAAGUACAAACCUGAUGGUUGUUUGUUAUCCCAACCAUUCUUCCCAGCCCUGAUACCGAUCAGGAAAGGGGUAAUUUCUAACAAAGUUUUUCUCUUGUUGAUUCCUAUUUCUAGGUGUAGUGCUUUUCUCCCCUAUGCUGCCUACGGAUACUAAUAGAGUAGGAUUGGCCUGUAAUCCAUACCAUACCAUAUCCUGUAGGUGUAACCUUUCGCUCAAUACUCAAAUCUACAAUUGAAGUAUCUGAAGCCGCAUCAAUCGAGGGUACACGACGGAAGGAAUUGUUAGUUCGCCUCACCUUCCCGAAGCGUGGGUUUGUUUGCUUUACAAAUUUGGUUCUCUCUAUGCCAACCCCUUCUCUUUUUCGUAAGACUGAGGUAUAGGUAGGGCUAAAAAAAAGCAAAAAAAAGAGUCAAAUCGCACCAUCUCUAUAAUAAGUAAAUGCCUUUUUUUCUCCUGAGGUUGUCGGAAUUAUUCGCAAUAAAAUAUUGGCUACAAUUGAGGAGGUCUUAUCAAUGAAAUUUCCAUUUACACGGGAUCUAGGCAUAAUUCCCAACCCAUUCUAUAUAGAAUUGUUUUCAUUCCUUCACAAAAUAACAUAAAAACAAACACAUUCGAUUCUUAUAAUUAUAAAUAAAUUGAUCCAUAUGCUCUACUCUAAAUCCAUAUGCUUUAAAUGGAUAAGAGAGAUAUGGAUUUUCCGCUCAGCUCAAAUUGUAUCCUUUCGCUCAAUACUCAAAUCUACAAUUGAAGUAUCUGAAGCCGCAUCAAUCGAGGAUACACGACGGAAGGAAUUGUUAGUUCGCCUCACCUUCCCGAAGCGUGGGUUUGUUUGCUUUACAAAUUUGGUUCUCUCUAUGCCAACCCCUUCUCUUUUUCGUAAGACUGAGGUAUAGGUAGGGCUAAAAAAAAGCAAAAAAAAGAGUCAAAUCGCACCAUCUCUAUAAUAAGUAAAUGCCUUUUUUUCUCCUGAGGUUGUCGGAAUUAUUCGCAAUAAAAUAUUGGCUACAAUUGAGGAGGUCUUAUCAAUGAAAUUUCCAUUUACACGGGAUCUAGGCAUAAUUCCCAACCCAUUCUAUAUAGAAUUGUUUUCAUUCCUUCACAAAAUAACUUUGAAAACACGAAAUAGUUGAUAACAUAAGUUGUUGUUCAGAAAUAGGAAAGUGGAAUGAAAUCCAGUCUUAGUCAAAUAUUUCAUAUCUCUUCGUGUCCAAGCAGAAGGAAAAGGAUACAAUUUGAGCUGAGCGGAAAAUCCAUAUCUCUCUUAUCCAUUUAAAGCAUAUGGAUUUAGAGUAGAGCAUAUGGAUCAAUUUAUUUAUAAUUAUAAGAAUCGAAUGUGUUUGUUUUUAUGUUAUUUUGUGAAGGAAUGAAAACAAUUCUAUAUAGAAUGGGUUGGGAAUUAUGCCUAGAUCCCGUGUAAAUGGAAAUUUCAUUGAUAAGACCUCCUCAAUUGUAGCCAAUAUUUUAUUGCGAAUAAUUCCGACAACCUCAGGAGAAAAAAAGGCAUUUACUUAUUAUAGAGAUGGUGCGAUUUGACUUUUUUUUGCUUUUUUUUAGCCCUACCUAUACCUCAGUCUUACGAAAAAGAGAAGGGGUUGGCAUAGAGAGAACCAAAUUUGUAAAGCAAACAAACCCACGCUUCGGGAAGGUGAGGCGAACUAACAAUUCCUUCCGUCGUGUAUCCUCGAUUGAUGCGGCUUCAGAUACUUCAAUUGUAGAUUUGAGUAUUGAGCGAAAGGUUACACCUACAGGAUAUGGUAUGGUAUGGAUUACAGGCCAAUCCUACUCUAUUAGUAUCCGUAGGCAGCAUAGGGGAGAAAAGCACUACACCUAGAAAUAGGAAUCAACAAGAGAAAAACUUUGUUAGAAAUUACCCCUUUCCUGAUCGGUAUCAGGGCUGGGAAGAAUGGUUGGGAUAACAAACAACCAUCAGGUUUGUACUUUGGAUACCCCUAUAACCAUCAAAGAUCGUUGAAGUAGCUAAUUCCUCUAAAUAGGAGGCGUUGAGCACAAAGAAAUUAUUGGAGCUAUCGUUUUCCUCUAGCAUUAAUAGAAUUCAUUGGUGUUAAGAAAAACCUCUUGUGGGAAGGUUGGCUAGAGAUUUCUUGGAAAAAUACCAGCCCCUUUCGGUUCAUAAUGAGACGGGACUAAUUCUAUUUUGAUUCUAUAGAUUAUUUCGCUUAGUACUAUUAUGUACAGAAGGGAGGAGCCGUAUGAGAUGAAAACCUCAUGUACGGUUUUGGAACGGAGAUUUUUUGAAUAGAAUGAACGACCGUAACGGAUGUUGGCUCAAUCCGAAGGAAAUUAUGCGGAAGCUUUGCAAAAUUAUUAUGAAGCUACGCGACUAGAAAUCGAUCCCUAUGAUCGAAGUUAUAUACUCUAUAACAUAGGCCUUAUACACACAAGAGGUUUUUCUUAACACCAAUGAAUUCUAUUAAUGCUAGAGGAAAACGAUAGCUCCAAUAAUUUCUUUGUUCUCAACGCCUCCUAUUUAGAGGAAUUAGCUACUUCAACGAUCUUUGAUGGUUAUAGGGGUAUCCAAAGUACAAACCUGAUGGUUGUUUGUUAUCCCAACCAUUCUUCCCAGCCCUGAUACCGAUCAGGAAAGGGGUAAUUUCUAACAAAGUUUUUCUCUUGUUGAUUCCUAUUUCUAGGUGUAGUGCUUUUCUCCCCUAUGCUGCCUACGGAUACUAAUAGAGUAGGAUUGGCCUGUAAUCCAUACCAUACCAUAUCCUGUAGGUGUAACCUUUCGCUCAAUACUCAAAUCUACAAUUGAAGUAUCUGAAGCCGCAUCAAUCGAGGAUACACGACGGAAGGAAUUGUUAGUUCGCCUCACCUUCCCGAAGCGUGGGUUUGUUUUCUUUACAAAUUCUGAUCAGGAAAAAUACAAAAUUAUGUCAGUUAUUUUGAAGUUAUUCUAAUCUCGUACACACACAAAUUUGCAAUUAUUCAUCUACUACUGGAAUUUGGAUUUAUUUUAUCGAUGCAAAUUGGAUUUGGAUAGAAGGGUACAUUCUUUCUAAUAUUUUAGAUAGAAGAAAUGUUUCUUCUAUCUAAAAUAUUAGAAAGAAUUUUGCUGAUUUAUUUAUUGCUAUAUGCAAUUUAUGGAAUUGAUACACCAUUUAAUUGAUAUCAUUUAGCAAAAUGAAACACAGCAUAUGCAUCCAUCUUUUGGCUCGAGAAUUUCACGGGAUAGAGAUAUGGUAUAAGAAAUAGACUAUUAAGUAACUCUAAAUGAAUUGUGGAUACAUCUGUAUCCUUAACAUACUGAAACGAUUGUCAUUAUUCGUAUCAAACCAAUAGCGAUUCAUACAAGCUAAAUCUUCUAAUCAAUGGUGGGCCAAUAAUGCAUUUUUUUGCAUAUGUAUUAAGACGCUUGGCCUGAUUUCGAAAUUGUCCAGAGUUU